AGUUCUGACCAUUUCUCAGAGACUACCUGGACAAGUGCCUGCAGUUUUCUUGGCAAGGUUUUUCAGAAGUGGUGUGCCACUAACUCUUCCCUAGAGAUGA
Pseudonaja textilis is the source of this 100-nucleotide non-coding RNA. The record is from RefSeq and is a predicted model, not a curated record. Lineage: Eukaryota; Metazoa; Chordata; Lepidosauria; Squamata; Elapidae.